Molecule: ribosomal RNA, 491 nt
Filed under: uncultured bacterium
Lineage: Bacteria
Description: partial 16S ribosomal RNA
Rfam family: Bacterial small subunit ribosomal RNA
Source: RNAcentral
AUUGAACGCUGGCGGCAUGCUUUACACAUGCAAGUCGAACGGUAACAGGCCUUCGGGUGCUGACGAGUGGCGAACGGGUGAGUAAUGCAUCGGAACGUACCCAGAGGUGGGGGAUAACGCAGCGAAAGCUGUGCUAAUACCGCAUGUGAUCUGAGGAUGAAAGCGGGGGACCGAGCAGCAAUGUUUGGCCUCGCGCCUUUGGAGCGGCCGAUGUCGGAUUAGCUAGUUGGUGGGGUAAAGGCCUACCAAGGCGACGAUCCGUAGCUGGUCUGAGAGGACGACCAGCCACACUGGGACUGAGACACGGCCCAGACUCCUACGGGAGGCAGCAGUGGGGAAUUUUGGACAAUGGGCGCAAGCCUGAUCCAGCAAUGCCGCGUGCGGGAAGAAGGCCUUCGGGUUGUAAACCGCUUUUGGCAGGAACGAAACGGUGUCCGCUAAUACCGGGCGCUAAUGACGGUACCUGCAGAAUAAGCACAGGCUAACUACGU